This 377-nucleotide ribosomal RNA is filed under the name uncultured bacterium. RNAcentral's name for it is "bacterial SSU rRNA". It matches the Rfam family "Bacterial small subunit ribosomal RNA", at positions 523 to 898 of the family's 1533-position model. The record is from RNAcentral.
AUACGUAGGCGGCAAGCGUUAUCCGGAUUUAUUGGGCGUAAAGCGAGCGCAGGCGGUUUUUUAAGUCUGAUGUGAAAGCCCUCGGCUUAACCGAGGAAGCGCAUCGGAAACUGGGAAACUUGAGUGCAGAAGAGGACAGUGGAACUCCAUGUGUAGCGGUGAAAUGCGUAGAUAUAUGGAAGAACACCAGUGGCGAAAGCGGCUCUCUGGUCUGUAACUGACGCUGAGGUUCGAAAGCGUGGGGAGCGAACAGGAUUAGAUACCCUGGUAGUCCACGCUGUAAACGAUGAAUGCUAGGUGUUGGAGGGUUUCCGCCCUUCGGUGCCGCAGCUAACGCACUAAGCAUUCCGCCUGGGGAGUACGAUCGCAAGAUUGAA